AGCAGCCGCGGUAAUUCCAGCUCCAAUAGCGUAUAUUAAAGUUGUUGCAGUUAAAAAGCUCGUAGUUGAAUUUCGGGAUCAAUAUAUCGGUCGUGCCUUGGUACGUACUGGUAUCAUUGGUUUCUCCUUUCUGACGAACCAUGAUGUCAUUAAUUUGGUGUUAUGGGAAGUUAGGACUGUUACUUUGAAAAAAUUAGAGUGUUUAAAGCAGGCUUUGGCUUGAAUACAUUAGCAUGGAAUAAUGAAAUAGGACGUUCGAACCUAUUUUGUUGGUUUCUAGGAUCAACGUAAUGAUUAAUAGGGAUAGUUGGGGGCAUUAGUAUUCAAUUGUCAGAGGUGAAAUUCUUGGAUUUAUUGAAGACUAACUACUGCGAAAGCAUUUGCCAAGGAUGUUUUCAUUAAUCAAGAACGAAAGUUAGGGGAUCGAAGACGAUCAGAUACCGUCGUAGUCUUAACCAUAAACUAUGCCGACUAGGAAUCAGACGAUGUUAAUUUUUUAAUGACUCGUUUGGCACCUUAC
This 520-nucleotide unclassified non-coding RNA is filed under the name uncultured Glomus. RNAcentral describes it as "SSU rRNA". It matches the Rfam family "Eukaryotic small subunit ribosomal RNA", at positions 569 to 1091 of the family's 1831-position model. The record is from RNAcentral. Lineage: Eukaryota; Fungi; Glomeromycota; Glomeromycetes; Glomerales; Glomeraceae.